RNAcentral lists this ribosomal RNA (443 nucleotides) under uncultured bacterium. Its description in RNAcentral is "SSU rRNA". It matches the Rfam family "Bacterial small subunit ribosomal RNA", at positions 26 to 518 of the family's 1533-position model. The record is from RNAcentral.
AGAGCGAACGCUGGCGGCAGGCCUAAUACAUGCAAGUCGAACGCACCUUCGGGUGAGUGGCGGACGGGUGAGUAACACGUGGGAACGUGCCUUUGGUUCGGAAUAAUCCGGGGAAACCUGGCCUAAUACCGGAUGUGCCCUUCGGGGGAAAGAUUUAUCGCCAUUAGAGCGGCCCGCGUCUGAUUAGCUAGUUGGUGAGGUAACGGCCCACCAAGGCGACGAUCAGUAGCUGGUCUGAGAGGAUGAUCAGCCACACUGGGACUGAGACACGGCCCAGACUCCUACGGGAGGCAGCAGUAGGGAAUCUUGCGCAAUGGGCGAAAGCCUGACGCAGCCAUGCCGCGUGAAUGAUGAAGGUCUUAGGAUUGUAAAAUUCUUUCAGCGGGGAAGAUAAUGACUGUACCCGCAGAAGAAGCUCCGGCUAACUUCGCGCCAGCAGCCGC